GUGUCAUUUGAAAGAAGAGCAGGUUAUACUAUCCCUUGACAAGGAUGGAACGCAUUUCGUAUGGAACGAAACAUCCAUGAGUAGCCGCUAUGCUCUUGAAGCUCGCGCCCUCGAUCACGCCUUGCAGGACGUUAU
This 135-nucleotide non-coding RNA is filed under the name Anopheles gambiae (African malaria mosquito). The record is from RNAcentral. Lineage: Eukaryota; Metazoa; Arthropoda; Insecta; Diptera; Culicidae.